UACAGAGGGCGCGAGCGUUGUUCGGAAUUACUGGGCGUAAAGGGCUCGUAGGUGGCCAACUAAGUCAGACGUGAAAUCCCCAGGCUCAACUUGGGAACUGCGUCUGAUACUGGAUGGCUUGAAUUCGGGAGAGGGAUGCAGAAUUCCAGGUGUAGCGGUGAAAUGCGUAGAUAUCUGGAGGAAUACCGGUGGCGAAGGCGGCAUCCUGGACCGAUAUUGACACUGAGGAGCGAAAGCCAGGGGAGCAAACGGG
Molecule: ribosomal RNA, 253 nt
Filed under: uncultured bacterium
Lineage: Bacteria
Description: partial 16S ribosomal RNA
Rfam family: Bacterial small subunit ribosomal RNA
Source: RNAcentral